This 506-nucleotide ribosomal RNA is filed under the name uncultured bacterium. RNAcentral describes it as "partial 16S ribosomal RNA". It matches the Rfam family "Bacterial small subunit ribosomal RNA", at positions 29 to 523 of the family's 1533-position model. The record is from RNAcentral.
AGUGAACGCUGGCGGUAGGCCUAACACAUGCAAGUCGAACGGCAGCACAGGAGAGCUUGCUCUCUGGGUGGCGAGUGGCGGACGGGUGCGGAAUACAUCGGAAUCUACCUUUUCGUGGGGGAUAACGUAGGGAAACUUACGCUAAUACCGCUUACGACCUACGGGUGAAAGCAGGGGACCUUCGGGCCUUGCGCGAUUGAAUGAGCCGAUGUCGGAUUAGCUAGUUGGCGGGGUAAAGGCCCACCAAGGCGACGAUCCGUAGCUGGUCUGAGGGGAUGAUCAGCCACACUGGAACGGAGACACGGUCCAGACUCCUACGGGAGGCAGCAGUGGGGAAUAUUGGACAAUGGGCGCAAGCCUGAUCCAGCCAUACCGCGUGGGUGAAGAAGGCCUUCGGGUUGUAAAGCCCUUUUGUUGGGAAAGAAAUCCAGCUGGCUAAUACCCGGUUGGGAUGACGGUACCCAAAGAAUAAGCACCGGCUAACUUCGUGCCAGCCGCCGCAGUAA